GGACUCUUCGGAGUUAGUGGCGCACGGGUGAGGAACACGUGGGCAACAUACCCUUUGGUAGGGAAUAAUGUCUGGAAACGGACACUAAUACCCUAUAAUGACUUCGGUCCAAAGAUUUAUCGCCAAAGGAUUGGCCCGCGCAUGAUUAGAUAGUUGGUGAGGUAAUGGCUCACCAAGUCUACGAUCAUUAGCUGGUCUGAGAGGAUGAUCAGCCACACUGGAACUGAGACACGGUCCAGACUCCUACGGGAGGCAGCAGUGAGGAAUAUUGGACAAUGGGGGCAACCCUGAUCCAGCCAUGCCGCGUGUGUGAAGAAGGCCUUCGGGUUGUAAAGCACUUUCAGUUGUGAGGAAAGUUUGAUGGUUAAUACCCAUUAGAUGUGACGUUAACAACAGAAGAAGGACCGGCUAACUCCGUGCCAGCAGCCGCGGUAAUACGGAGGGUCCGAGCGUUAAUCGGAAUUACUGGGCGUAAAGCGCACGCAGGCGGUUUGUUAAGCUAGAUGUGAAAGCCCCGGGCUCAACCUGGGAAUAGCAUUUAGAACUGGCAGGCUAGAGUCUUGGGGAGGGGAGUGGAAUUUCUGGUGUAGCGGUGAAAUGCGUAGAUAUCAGA
Molecule: ribosomal RNA, 613 nt
Filed under: uncultured bacterium
Lineage: Bacteria
Description: bacterial SSU rRNA
Rfam family: Bacterial small subunit ribosomal RNA
Source: RNAcentral